AUUGAUUCAUCAUGGAAGUGAAUCGGGUGACUCUUCCAUGUUGAUCUCUCCUCCACCACCUCCUUAAGGUGAUGGCAAAUUUCUGAGUUUCCCGAAUUUGCUUCCAUGGUGAAUCAAUC
RNAcentral lists this microRNA precursor (119 nucleotides) under Glycine max (soybean). RNAcentral describes it as "miR5671 stem-loop (gma-MIR5671a)". The record is from miRBase by way of RNAcentral. Lineage: Eukaryota; Viridiplantae; Streptophyta; Magnoliopsida; Fabales; Fabaceae.